UGAGGAGCAUGGAUUUCCACAAAGAUUUGAUUGCUAGAAAGGACAACUAUACCCAACACCAGGGCGCCUGGUCCCAGAGGACAGUAGAUUUGGCUGGGGGCUACUACGGGGCGAAGCGGAGUGGAGUGACUUAACACCAGCACCCCCAACGGCCCACUUCUCCUAGCUCACAACUAGCCAGGGACUCGCUAGUUCCUGGGUAUGUGUUGCCAAGGUCUGACCCUAUCUCUUACUGUGGGAAAGUCACACGAACACUGUCAGGGCUCUGAAAUUCUAUCAGAAGUGGUGCAGGCGAAUUCCCAAAGAGUCCUGAGGGGGCGGGCUUGUAGGGAAACGCGUUAGUCUGGUCUGUUUUCCUCCAGCUUCACCGGGUAGGGAGGUGGCGGAGGGGGGAGUCCAUCUCACACCCUAACGAAGUUGGCAGGAAGCCCCCGAAAGGAGGCGCUGUGGACUCCAAUUGGAUACCAUUUGGCUCUCUUUAGGAGCUUUCAAUUUCUUCAAGAAGCCCAGCUGAUGAGUCUCUUGUAAAUACCACUUGUUCUGCAAAGGGCAUCAUAGAGGGGCUGGCCUGUGGAUGGGCAGGGUACGGAGAGUUGGGAGGAGGGAAUGGGACUCCGUCACUUUCGACCUUAUCCGCUUAUUCACUUAGGAAGAAUGCGGAGGGGUGGGUCCAAAACCCAGCAGAGAGUUGCAAACUUUUUAAAACACACCCUACGCCAACUCUUCUCAAUGGCACUCCCAACCAAGCACCAGAAGGCGGCGCUGUUGAACUCUGAACAAAGCCAAAGAAGUUGGAGGGCCCCACAGUUGCCCAGCUAAAAAAUAGUUAAGAGUGUGAGGAACUCGAAGGCCUUGCCCUGGAGUAAGAAACUCGGCUUCGGGAGACUCUUUGUGGAUUCUGUGGCUUACUUGUGGGUCUUCCUUCCCUGGUCAAGUACAGACUGGACUUUAAAAGGGAACCGGAGCCUGUGGCAUCCUCAGACUACUUACCCACAGUGACCAGCGGGAGUGCACACUAUAAAAAAUGAAAGGAAGCAGGUGUGCUGGUCCCUCCCUCCCUUCUCCAUUGCCAUGGGAAUUUAGAUCUGGGACUUGCAGAGCCUUUUAAUAUCCCACUGAGGGGUGUCCUGUCAAAACUGCCCCUGCUCAUCAGUAAGGAAACCAGAGAAGUACCCAUGAGUUCUGAGAUCUGAAGCUCAGCUGCACCCCCCCCCCCAGGUGUGCUCCAAGAAGAGGGGGGGAAAAAGACUCUGAAAUGAAGAGUAGGGCAGUCCCCUGUGGGAUAUGGGAGCAUUGUGAUAUGGGUUGGAACCCCCUAGAGGCACUGUUGAAAGUUCUCCAAAAAUGAGAAGAAUUCCUUGUGUGGAUGAGGGACAGGAUCAGCUACGAAAUCUACAGAGCACAGGGCAGGUUAUAAAUGCGGGAGCCCUUAUGCUGUUCUCAAGAAUUUCAAGAACACAAUAAUAUAGCACUAAACCAAGAUGGUGUCGUUCUGAGAGAGACAUUCCUCCUUGAAUGGGAAUCUUUCUGAGCCUGUCAGCACCAAAAGGAGCUAAGGAACAUUUGAAGAUCAGGUCUCAUGCCACACCUGACUGGUUUGAAUCUUGGAGGGGUCUUUGCUGAUUUACCAACACCAUCUUUGAUUUGGCAUCCUUUUAAGGUCUCCUUGAUCCCAUUAUUAAUUCUUGAAAUGGUAAAGAAAAAAAAAUGGGAAGUGCAUGAAUAGCCCCAGUUACUGAGUCCAUGAAGACCUCAAUGAUGCUUUCAUAUUACAAAGAAACAAGACCAACAAUGGAAGUAGAGAAAUGUAACAUAGAGGUACAGACAGUCUCUAGGCCACCCUGCAGAACAUGGAUGGACAAAACCCAUUUGGCUUUCCAAUCCCUUAGGGUUUUGAGAUACACCACCUUUGCCUCCCAGGGCUUCCCUCUACAAUUUCAUUUUUCCUCCCCAGUAUUGCAUUUCAGACUAUUCUGCAAGUUCUAUAACACCUUUCAGAUUGAAGGUCCCAGUCCUCUAUUCUUCUGGGACCCCAUCUUCCUAUGAAUAUCUCUUACAUUUAGGAAUGAGCCAUUCCUUCUUGUCUCUAUGAGGAUGGUUUAUCCAUUUCCCUCCCCAUCAACUGGCUCCUGACCUCACUGUUCUCAUUGUGUGCUCCCCAGCCAAGACCUCUGUUAUUGCUAAAACAGUCCACUGAAAGAACACCAUCAUAUCCUACAUACUGAUUCCAAGAACUUGUUUUCAGUCUUCACCCUCCCAGAUAUCUCUGUGUCGUUUACACUGUCAACCUCUCGCUAUUCUCAAAGCAUUUCCUUUCCUGACUUUCAAAGUACAUUUGUUCUUGUCCCACCUCUCCUCUGAGCUGUACGUGUGGUCCCCCUGCCUCACUAGGAUGGAUGCUUCCCAAGGUUCUGCCUAGAGUUAUCACCUGUCUUUUACAUCCCAGUCUUUGGUGCACUCAUCAACUCCCCUUGCAGAACACAAGAUGUCUUACAAGGGGUUCCCAACCUAAUCUUACUCUGUAUCAAUAUUUGAGCCACCCAGUUUGAAACCAUACAUUUGUCUCUGACUUCAUGUUCUUCAUCUUCUCUCUCCAACUUCAUCAGAGUUUCUGUCUCAUCCUUUCCUUUUUCACUGAUCCUGCCUUAUCAAUUUAUGCUGAAACAAUACUUCAACUCUAUUCCUUUCUUCUUUUCUCUUCCACUCUUCAUCCCCUACCAAACCACUACCAAACCGUAGAUAGCACUUCCUCAGUGCUAUCUACCCCCCUCCUUCCGCUGGGAGAGGUCUGAACUCCUAUCCUCUCUCCUUGCUGAAGAUGCUCAUCAUUGCGUCUCUGUUACAAAUGAGGGAAUUUACACUCAAGGGGUUGCACUGGGAUUUGCUCCCAAAGCCUGCACUCCACCAUGUCAAACAACUUUGUUGACCAAUGACCUACCAAUCCCUGUAGAUGAAAAAAAAAAAAAAAUCACAGGAAGGGAAACUUCUGCUCACUUUCAGAUAAAUAUCUCAUCUUUAUUCUAUGGUCAUGUCUCUUUCUCUGGCUGGAAAAUUUUUGUCUUUGUCCCCAUAUUAACCAUCUUUCAACUUCCAGUUGACAAGUUGCCCCAUUAUCAAGGGAACCCAACCAGAACUGACUCUCUCUGAACUUUCAUAACAAGUAACCCAGCCUCUUUGUGUGUCAGUUUCCUCAGCUGCAUGACAGGAACUAUAAGGGUUCCCCUUUCGAAGCAUUAUUAUGAGGACUAAAUGGGUUACAUAUGUAAGGUGUUUAGAACAGUUGAGCCACAAUAAGCUCUCAACAAGCUUUAUCUAAAAAGAAGCAUAUACUUCCCAGAAUUUGGAUUCAGACACUGAUUGUUUUCAGCACCCAG
This 3374-nucleotide long non-coding RNA is filed under the name Marmota monax (woodchuck). The record is from RNAcentral. Lineage: Eukaryota; Metazoa; Chordata; Mammalia; Rodentia; Sciuridae.